This 74-nucleotide transfer RNA is filed under the name Blautia sp. An249. It matches the Rfam family "tRNA". Rfam says of the family: Transfer RNA (tRNA) molecules are approximately 80 nucleotides in length. Their secondary structure includes four short double-helical elements and three loops (D, anti-codon, and T loops). The record is from Rfam by way of RNAcentral. Lineage: Bacteria; Bacillati; Bacillota; Clostridia; Lachnospirales; Lachnospiraceae.
GGAUUCUUAGCUGAGAUGGUUACAGCAUUCGGCUCAUAACCGAAAGUUCCUGGGUUCGAGUCCCAGAGAAUCCA